UGGUGCUUCCUCCUUCGUGGUGGUGACAAAUCUUUUGGCACCACUGAGUCAUGCCAUGUCGGUCGCCGAGGUGGGGAUGUGUCUUUGGGCUCCUUUGAGUCAUGCCUCAUGCGCCUUCGUGGUGGCGACAUGUCCUGAGGCUCCUCGGAAUCAUGCCUCAUGCGCCUCCGUGGUGGCGACAUGUCCUGAGGCUCCUCGGAAUCAUGCCUCGUGCGCCUCCGUGGUGGCAGCAUGUCCUGGGGCUCCUCCGAAUCAUGUCUACGCCUCCGUGGCAGCGAGAGGUCCUGAGGAUCCUCUGAAUCAUGUCUCACACGCCUCCUUGGCAGCUCGAGGUCCUGGGGCUCCUC
Molecule: long non-coding RNA, 347 nt
Filed under: Setaria italica (foxtail millet)
Lineage: Eukaryota; Viridiplantae; Streptophyta; Magnoliopsida; Poales; Poaceae
Description: long non-coding RNA (SITA_LNC002717)
Source: RNAcentral